GAUGAACGCUGGCGGCGUGCCUAAUACAUGCAAGUCGAGCGAUCGAACUAGAAGUUUCCUUCUUUGAUUUUUGCCGCGCACGGGUGUGUCACACGUGCAUACUCUCCCUAUCAGACUGGGAUCACUUCGGGACACCUUCGCUAAUACCGGAUACAACUUUAAACCGCAUGCUUCAAAAGUGAAAGACGUUCUUGUUGUCACUUAUUGAUGGCUCCGCGCUGCAUUAGCUAGUUGGUAAGGUACCGACUUACCAAGGCAACGAUGCGUAGCCGACCUGAGAGGGUGAUCGGCCACACGGGAACGUAGACACGGUCCAUGGGCCUGCGAGAGGCAGCAGUAGGGAAUCGUCCGCAGUGGGGGAAAGCCUGACAGAGCAGGGGCGCGUGUGUGAUAGAGAUGUUCGGAUCGGAAAACUCUGUUAUUAGGGAAGAACAUAUGUGUAAGUAACAGUGCACAGCGUGACGGUACCUAAACAGAAAGCCACGGCUAACUACGUG
This 497-nucleotide ribosomal RNA is filed under the name uncultured bacterium. RNAcentral's name for it is "partial 16S ribosomal RNA". It matches the Rfam family "Bacterial small subunit ribosomal RNA", at positions 28 to 507 of the family's 1533-position model. The record is from RNAcentral.